GAGAGAUGACCGAGUGGUUGAAGGUACCGGUCUUGAAAACCGGCGUAGGUAUCCCCUACCGUGGGUUCGAAUCCCACUCUCUCC
Molecule: transfer RNA, 84 nt
Filed under: human oral metagenome
Rfam family: tRNA
About the family: Transfer RNA (tRNA) molecules are approximately 80 nucleotides in length.
Source: RNAcentral